GACGCGGCGCGGACGGGUGAGUAAUGUCUGGGAAACUGCCUGAUGGAGGGGGGAUAAACCACUGGAAACGGUGGCUAAUAUCCGCAUAACGUCGCAAGACCAAAAGUGGGGGACUUCGGGCCUCAUGCCAUCAGAUGUGCCCAGAUGGGAUUAGCUUGUAGGUGGGGUAACGGCUCACCUAGGCGACGAUCCCUAGCUGGUCUGAGAGGAUGACCAGCCACACUGGAACUGAGACACGGUCCAGACUCUACGGGAGGCAGCAGUGGGGAAUAUUGCACAAUGGGCGCAAGCCUGUUGCAGCCAUGCCGCGUGUAUGAAGAAGGCUUCGGGUUGUAAAGUACUUUCAGUGGGGAGGAAGGCGUGAUGUUUAAUACGCAUCGCGAUUGACGUUACCCACAGAAGAAGCACCGGCUAACUCCGUGCCAGCAGCCGCGGUAAUACGGAGGGUGCAAGCGUUAAUCGGAAUUACUGGGCGUAAAGCGCACGCAGGCGGUCUGUUAAGUCAGAUGUGAAAUCCCCGGGCUCAACCCGGGAACUGCAUUUGAAACUGGCAGGCUUGAGUCUCGUAGAGGGGGGUAGAAUUCCAGGUGUAGCGGUGAAAUGCGUAGAGAUCUGGAGGAAUACCGGUGGCGAGGCGGCCCCCUGGACGAAGACUGACGCUCAGGUGCGAAAGCGUGGGGAGCAAACAGGAUUAGAUACCCUGGUAGUCCACGCCGUAAACGAUGUCGACUUGGAGGUUGUGCCCUUGAGGCGUGGCUUCCGGAGCUAACGCGUUAAGUCGACCGCCUGGGGAGUACGGCCGCAAGGUUAAAACUCAAAUGAAUUGACGGGGGCCCGCACAAGCGGUGGAGCAUGUGGUUUAAUUCGAUGCAACGCGAAGAACCUUACCUGGCCUUGACAUCCAGAGAACUUCCCAGAGAUGGAUUGGUGCUUCGGGAACUCUGAGACAGGUGCUGCAUGGCUGUCGUCAGCUCGUGUUGUGAAAUGUUGGGUUAAGUCCCGCAACGAGCGCAACCCUUAUCCUUUGUUGCCAGCGGUUAGGCCGGGAACUCAAAGGAGACUGCCGGUGAUAAACCGGAGGAAGGUGGGGAUGACGUCAAGUCAUCAUGGCCUUACGGCCAGGGUAACACGUGCUACAAUGCGCAUACAAAGAGAAGCGACCUCGCGAGAGCAAGCGGACCUCAUAAAGUGCGUCGUAGUCCGGAUUGAGUUCUGCCCUC
This 1220-nucleotide ribosomal RNA is filed under the name Franconibacter pulveris. Its description in RNAcentral is "bacterial SSU rRNA". It matches the Rfam family "Bacterial small subunit ribosomal RNA", at positions 90 to 1312 of the family's 1533-position model. The record is from RNAcentral. Lineage: Bacteria; Pseudomonadati; Pseudomonadota; Gammaproteobacteria; Enterobacterales; Enterobacteriaceae.